AACGUGAGCUAAUACCGGAUAUCUCAUUUCCUCUCCUGAGGGGAUGAUGAAAGACGGAGCAAUCUGUCACUUGCGGAUGGGCCUGCGGCGCAUUAGCUAGUUGGUGAGGUAACGGCUCACCAAGGCGACGAUGCGUAGCCGACCUGAGAGGGUGAACGGCCACACUGGGACUGAGACACGGCCCAGACUCCUACGGGAGGCAGCAGUAGGGAAUCUUCCGCAAUGGGCGAAAGCCUGACGGAGCAACGCCGCGUGAGUGAUGAAGGUUUUCGGAUCGUAAAGCUCUGUUGCCAGGGAAGAACGUCCGGUAGAGUAACUGCUAUCGGAGUGACGGUACCUGAGAAGAAAGCCCCGGCUAACUACGUGCCAGCAGCCGCGGUAAUACGUAGGGGGCAAGCGUUGUCCGGAAUUAUUGGGCGUAAAGCGCGCGCAGGCGGUCAUUUAAGUCUGGUGUUUAAGGCCAAGGCUCAACCUUGGUUCGCACUGGAAACUGGGUGACUUGAGUGCAGAAGAGGAGAGUGGAAUUCCACGUGUAGCGGUGAAAUGCGUAGAUAUGUGGAGGAACACCAGUGGCGAAGGCGACUCUCUGGGCUGUAACUGACGCUGAGGCGCGAAAGCGUGGGGAGCAAACAGGAUUAGAUACCC
RNAcentral lists this ribosomal RNA (645 nucleotides) under Paenibacillus sp. 1794. RNAcentral's name for it is "bacterial SSU rRNA". It matches the Rfam family "Bacterial small subunit ribosomal RNA", at positions 155 to 787 of the family's 1533-position model. The record is from RNAcentral. Lineage: Bacteria; Bacillati; Bacillota; Bacilli; Caryophanales; Paenibacillaceae.